RNAcentral lists this transfer RNA (72 nucleotides) under Microtrichalus sp. BM0121. Its description in RNAcentral is "tRNA-Glu". RNAcentral also lists the same sequence under 1 other name. The record is from RNAcentral. Lineage: Eukaryota; Metazoa; Arthropoda; Insecta; Coleoptera; Lycidae.
AUUUCUAAAACUGUUUAUAUAGUUUAAUAAAAACAUUACAUUUUCAGUGUAAAAUUAAAUCUUAUUUUAUAA